Molecule: long non-coding RNA, 1116 nt
Filed under: Mus pahari (shrew mouse)
Lineage: Eukaryota; Metazoa; Chordata; Mammalia; Rodentia; Muridae
Description: lncRNA (MGP_PahariEiJ_G0006105.1)
Source: RNAcentral
CGGUCACCCGGGGCGGAUCAGCGCGCCCGGUAGGGAGCGCAGCUCCCGCAGUGAGUCCAGUGACGGAUUUCCGAACGCCCACGGGUGUGGUUGGGAAAGACCCGCCGUUUUCUAGGCAGAGAUCCCUCCAGGGCACGCCUGUGACCUUAAGCUAGUUGAUUUUGUCUGAUUCUCCAGAUGUCUGAUUGCCAGUGACCCGGGCUUCCUCUGUUGUCUUCGGAGUCUCUUGGGUGUCGACACAGCCUGGUUGCCUUUUACACAGCGACAAGUGAAAGAAAUGCAAUCAAAAGGGAUUAGAUGACCCGAGGCCAUGCUAAAUGUGCCAGUCAGUGAGAACCGGCCCAGGAAGCAGGACUUAGCUGGGAGAUGAGAGCUAAAAUUCAACUGUCCUGUUAGACCAUAGGAUGUGUAUGUGCAGGCUAUAAUCUCAGUGUUAUGAAGUUGCAUUUAUAUUUAGAGUUCUUAUGUUGGGUUUUGCAGGUUUUGAAACAAGAGUCCAAUUUGUUGAGAUGUCAAAAGCAACUAAAUUUAACAUAUCCUGGAUCCUAGAGAAAGUCAGAUGUUUUCCAUCCGGUGGAUAGGCUUCCUCAUUUUACAUUUUCGGUGUUUUCUUAGUCAUUCUUGAGUAUUCAUAUUUCAUCCAAACUUUACUAUCAAUUUGUGUCAUUUAGAAAUAGUAUCAUUUAACAAGGGGUUCGUUUGUUGAGGCACCUUUGUGGCUUUGAGAGAUUAGAUGGAUAGAUAAACAGCUUGGAACAGGAUCAAGGAAGGAUAUGAUAUAUUAUUAGCAGUAUUUGCUUGGCCUUAGUCUUGCAUGCCCUCUGAAAUCCUGUCAGAAUGCCACGUCGCCUGAGAAGCUGUAAGUGGCACCCACAGUGCUGUUGAUAGUGGCAGGUGUGCCUUCCUGGAGCAAGACUAACAACACGGGUGUGUUCUCUGGUUUUUAUACUUCCAGCGUGGAAAGCACCCAGUCUUAGGUGAAGAAUACAGAGCCUGUCCACAAUGGGGUUGCCCAGAAUCCUUUGACCUUUAUGUAUGCAAGUCCCUGGGGUUGAAGGAUUCUCUGAGGAAGAAAUCGGUGGCUACAGCAGUCAAUAAAGAGCAUAUUGUCCAAAA